GGCGUGCCUAAUACAUGCAAGUCGAACGCUUCUUUUUCCACCGGAGCUUGCUCCACCGGAAAAAGAGGAGUGGCGAACGGGUGAGUAACACGUGGGUAACCUGCCCAUCAGAAGGGGAUAACACUUGGAAACAGGUGCUAAUACCGUAUAACAAUCGAAACCGCAUGGUUUUGAUUUGAAAGGCGCUUUCGGGUGUCGCUGAUGGAUGGACCCGCGGUGCAUUAGCUAGUUGGUGAGGUAACGGCUCACCAAGGCGACGAUGCAUAGCCGACCUGAGAGGGUGAUCGGCCACAUUGGGACUGAGACACGGCCCAAACUCCUACGGGAGGCAGCAGUAGGGAAUCUUCGGCAAUGGACGAAAGUCUGACCGAGCAACGCCGCGUGAGUGAAGAAGGUUUUCGGAUCGUAAAACUCUGUUGUUAGAGAAGAACAAGGAUGAGAGUAACUGUUCAUCCCUUGACGGUAUCUAACCAGAAAGCCACGGCUAACUACGUGCCAGCAGCCGCGGUAAUACGUAGGUGGCAAGCGUUGUCCGGAUUUAUUGGGCGUAAAGCGAGCGCAGGCGGUUUCUUAAGUCUGAUGUGAAAGCCCCCGGCUCAACCGGGGAGGGUCAUUGGAAACUGGGGAGACUUGAGUGCAGAAGAGGAGAGUGGAAUUC
Molecule: ribosomal RNA, 658 nt
Filed under: Enterococcus hirae
Lineage: Bacteria; Bacillati; Bacillota; Bacilli; Lactobacillales; Enterococcaceae
Description: bacterial SSU rRNA
Rfam family: Bacterial small subunit ribosomal RNA
Source: RNAcentral